Small nuclear RNA from Arvicanthis niloticus (Nile rat), 120 nucleotides. RefSeq annotates it as U5 spliceosomal RNA. Lineage: Eukaryota; Metazoa; Chordata; Mammalia; Rodentia; Muridae. The record is from RefSeq and is a predicted model, not a curated record.
AUACUCUGGUUUCUCUUCAGAUCGUAUAAAUCUUUCGCCUUUUACUAAAGAUUUCCACGGAGAGCUAUAUGUUCUAGCAGAUGUAUCUUCACUAAUUUGAAAAUGAACAUAGUUGGUGAU